RNAcentral lists this ribosomal RNA (254 nucleotides) under uncultured bacterium. RNAcentral's name for it is "partial 16S ribosomal RNA". It matches the Rfam family "Bacterial small subunit ribosomal RNA", at positions 524 to 776 of the family's 1533-position model. The record is from RNAcentral.
CACGUAGGGGGCGAGCGUUGUCCGGAUUUAUUGGGCGUAAAGAGCUCGUAGGCGGCUCAGUAAGUCAGGUGUGAAAACUCCAGGCUCAACCUGGAGACGCCACCUGAUACUGCUGUGGCUAGAGUCCGGUAGGGGAGCAUGGAAUUCCUGGUGUAGCGGUGAAAUGCGCAGAUAUCAGGAGGAACACCGGUGGCGAAGGCGGUGCUCUGGGCCAGUACUGACGCUGAGGAGCGAAAGCGUGGGGAGCAAACAGG